Molecule: ribosomal RNA, 253 nt
Filed under: uncultured bacterium
Lineage: Bacteria
Description: partial 16S ribosomal RNA
Rfam family: Bacterial small subunit ribosomal RNA
Source: RNAcentral
GACGAAGGAUGCAAGCGUUAUCCGGAUUCAUUGGGUUUAAAGGGUGCGUAGGCGGACUUGUAAGUCAGUGGUGAAAUCUCUCAGCUUAACUGAGAAACUGCCAUUGAUACUGCAGGUCUAGAGUAUAGAUGACGUGGCGGAAUAUGACAUGUAGUGGUGAAAUACUUAGAUAUGUCAUAGAACACCGAUUGCGAAGGCAGCUAACGAAACUAUAACUGACGCUGAGGCACGAAAAGUGCGGGGAUCAAACAGG